GAUGAAGAACGUAGCGAAAUGCGAUACUUGGUGUGAAUUGCAGAAUCCCGUGAACCAUCGAGUCUUUGAACGCAAGUUGCGCCUCAAGCCAUUAGGUUGAGGGCACGUCUGCCUGGGCGUCACAUAUCGUUGCCUGAUGCCAGUUUCCUCGUGAUGGGUGACUGUGCAGGGCGAAUGAUGGCUUCCCGUGAGCAUUGUUGCCUCAUGGUUGGUUGAAAAUUGAGUCCUUGGUAGGGAGCGCCGUGAUAGAUGGUGGUUGAGUGACGAACGAGACCCAAUCAUGUGAGACCCCUACCGAAUUUGGCCUUCAUGACCCACAUGCGUCUUUGGAACGCUCAUGACGAGACCUCAGGUCAGGCGGGGCUACCCGCUGAGUUUAAGCAUAUCAAUAAGCGGUGGA
Molecule: unclassified non-coding RNA, 400 nt
Filed under: soil metagenome
Description: partial contains 5.8S ribosomal RNA, internal transcribed spacer 2, and large subunit ribosomal RNA
Rfam family: 5.8S ribosomal RNA (bases 1-122)
Source: RNAcentral